GAUGAAGAACGUAGCGAAAUGCGAUAAGUAAUGUGAAUUGCAGAAUUCAGUGAAUCAUCGAAUCUUUGAACGCACAUUGCGCCCCCUGGUAUUCCGGGGGGCAUGCCUGUUCGAGCGUCAUUUCACCACUCAAGCCUCGCUUGGUAUUGGGCAACGCAGUCCGCCGCGUGCCUCAAAUCGACCGGCUGGGUCUUCUGUCCCCUAAGCGUUGUGGAAACUAUUCGCUAAAGGGUGUUCGGGAGGCUACGCCGUAAAACAACCCCAUUUCUAAGGUUGACCUCGGAUCAGGUAGGGAUACCCGCUGAACUUAAGCAUAUCAAUAAGCGGAGGA
RNAcentral lists this unclassified non-coding RNA (331 nucleotides) under soil metagenome. RNAcentral describes it as "partial contains 5.8S ribosomal RNA, internal transcribed spacer 2, and large subunit ribosomal RNA". The stretch from base 1 to 120 matches the Rfam family "5.8S ribosomal RNA", at positions 35 to 154 of the family's 154-position model. The record is from RNAcentral.